This 282-nucleotide ribosomal RNA is filed under the name Triticum aestivum (bread wheat). RNAcentral describes it as "partial small subunit ribosomal RNA". The record is from RNAcentral. Lineage: Eukaryota; Viridiplantae; Streptophyta; Magnoliopsida; Poales; Poaceae.
AUGUUCGGCAAUUGGUUGAGGGGAAUAGAUAAACAAUUGUCUAAGCACAUUCUUGCGGGGGCAGCUGCCUUAUGUUGGGCGUUGUGGCUCACCAGGAAUGAUAUUGUUUUUAAUCAUAAAAGUGUUUCAUCUCCUAUGCAGGUAAUUCAUAUAUGCUCGCGAUGGCUCCGUAUGUGGUCUAUCCUGCAGAGGCCGGAGGACAUAGACUUUUUUAUGAUGGCUUCUACCCGGUUGGAGUGCUCGGCCAGGGACAUUUUUUUACCCCCAUGGAUGGCGGUUUGA